Molecule: ribosomal RNA, 478 nt
Filed under: uncultured bacterium
Lineage: Bacteria
Description: partial 16S ribosomal RNA
Rfam family: Bacterial small subunit ribosomal RNA
Source: RNAcentral
GAUGAACGCUGGCGGCGUGCUUAACACAUGCCAGUCGAACGAGAAGUGAAGACGGAAACCUUCGGGCGGAAGGCUUUAUUUCGAGUGGCGGACGGGUGAGUAACGCGUGGGUAACCUGCCUCAUACAGGGGGAUGACAGUUGGAAACGACUGUUAAUACCGCAUAAGACCACAGCACCGCAUGGUGCGGGGGUAAAAACUCCGGUGGUAUGAGAUGGACCCGCGUUCGAUUAGCCAGUUGGCGGGGUAACGGCCCACCAAAGCGACGAUCGAUAGCCGAUCUGAGAGGAUGACCGGCCACAUUUGGGCUGAGACACGGCCCAAACUCCUACGGGAGGCAGCAGUGGGGAAUAUUGCACAAUGGGGGAAACCCUGAUGCAGCGACGCCGCGUGAGUGAAGAAGUAUGUCGGUAUGUAAAGCUCUAUCAGCAGGGAAGAAAGUGACGGUACCUGAGUAAGAAGCCCCGGCUAACUACGUG